GUGGGGAAUAUUGCACAAUGGGCGCAAGCCUGAUGCAGCCAUGCCGCGUGUGUGAAGAAGGCCUUCGGGUUGUAAAGCACUUUCAGCGGGGAGGAAGGCGAUAAGGUUAAUAACCUUGUCGAUUGACGUUACCCGCAGAAGAAGCACCGGCUAACUCCGUGCCAGCAGCCGCGGUAAUACGGAGGGUGCAAGCGUUAAUCGGAAUUACUGGGCGUAAAGCGCACGCAGGCGGUCUGUCAAGUCGGAUGUGAAAUCCCCGGGCUCAACCUGGGAACUGCAUUCGAAACUGGCAGGCUAGAGUCUUGUAGAGGGGGGUAGAAUUCCAGGUGUAGCGGUGAAAUGCGUAGAGAUCUGGAGGAAUACCGGUGGCGAAGGCGGCCCCCUGGACAAAGACUGACGCUCAGGUGCGAAAGCGUGGGGAGCAAACAGGAUUAGAUACCCUUGUAGUCC
RNAcentral lists this ribosomal RNA (450 nucleotides) under uncultured bacterium. RNAcentral's name for it is "partial 16S ribosomal RNA". It matches the Rfam family "Bacterial small subunit ribosomal RNA", at positions 354 to 796 of the family's 1533-position model. The record is from RNAcentral.